ACGGCGCGAUUCGCCCUUAGAGUUUGAUCCUGGCUCAGGAUGAACGCUGGCGGCGUGCCUAACACAUGCAAGUCGAGCGCGAUUAAAUGAAGUGGAGAGCUUGCUCAAAGUGACAUUUAUGAAAGCGGCGGACGGGUGAGUAACGCGUGGGCAACCUGCCCUGUGCAGAGGGAUAGCCACUGGAAACGGUGAUUAAUACCUCAUGGAGCUAUUGAACCGCAUGGUUUAAUGGUGAAAGUUCCGGCGGCACAGGAUGGGCCCGCGUCUGAUUAGCUAGUUGGUGAGGUAACGGCUCACCAAGGCGACGAUCAGUAGCCGACCUGAGAGGGUGAACGGCCACACUGGAACUGAGACACGGUCCAGACUCCUACGGGAGGCAGCAGUGGGGAAUAUUGCACAAUGGGCGCAAGCCUGAUGCAGCAACGCCGCGUGAGUGAAGAAGGCUUUCGGGUCGUAAAGCUCUGUCCUAGGGGAAGAAUAAAUGACGGUACCCUGGGAGGAAGCCCCGGCUAACUACGUGCCAGCAGCCGCGGUAAUACGUAGGGGGCAAGCGUUAUCCGGAAUCACUGGGCGUAAAGGGUGCGUAGGUGGUUCGACAAGUCAGAAGUGAAAGGCUACGGCUUAACCGUGGUAAGCUUUUGAAACUGUUGAACUUGAGUGCAGGAGAGGUAAGUGGAAUUCCUAGUGUAGCGGUGAAAUGCGUAGAUAUUAGGAGGAACACCAGUGGCGAAGGCGACUUACUGGACUGUAACUGACACUGAGGCACGAAAGCGUGGGGAGCAAACAGGAUUAGAUACCCUGGUAGUCC
Molecule: ribosomal RNA, 808 nt
Filed under: uncultured bacterium
Lineage: Bacteria
Description: bacterial SSU rRNA
Rfam family: Bacterial small subunit ribosomal RNA
Source: RNAcentral